This 568-nucleotide long non-coding RNA is filed under the name Athene cunicularia (burrowing owl). RNAcentral's name for it is "lncRNA (ENSACUG00000009530.1)". Lineage: Eukaryota; Metazoa; Chordata; Aves; Strigiformes; Strigidae. The record is from RNAcentral.
GAGAAAAUAAAAAUGUUCUAGAAUUCCCAUUUUGUCGCAACUUUGCAGAUGAAGAAGGAGGAAGAGUGGCUGAGCUUCCAGUUCUCACAGCUGGCUCUCCUUUUCCAGCAGUCAAAAGUUAUGUUCUCUGUAUCACUACGGGAGCAUCACCUGGGUCAGGAACAGACGCAGAUGUGUAUGUCAUGCUCCAAGGCCUUUUGGGAGAUACUGGCAGAAGAAAGUUAAUCAGAAAAAGACAUGAUAAUUUCACUAAAGGAAAGGUGGAUGUUUUUCAAGUGGAAGCAGUAGAUGUUGGGACUCUGCAAGGGAUGGUGGUUGAAAAAGGGAAAGGCUCUGACUGGCUUCUGGAGAAGAUUAUUGUGAAAGAGUCAGCAGCUUCAGGAACAGAAACAUUGUUUAUGGCUCAAACAUGGCUAAAAGACAGACAUGAUGGAAAAAGGUUUGCCUCAGUAACGCUGAAUGCCACAGAAAUUGAGGAGAGGAGGAGCACUUCUGCCUGGCCUUUAGGAAAAGAGCAAAUGAAUUCAGAAGGCAGAUGGAGGAUUUAUUUCACAAAACAUCAAGAAGA